GAUGAACGCUGGCGGCGUGCCUAAUACAUGCAAGUCGAGCGAACGGACGAGAAGCUUGCUUCUCUGAUGUUAGCGGCGGACUGGUGAGUAACACGUGGAUAACCUACCUAUAAGACUGGGAUAACUUCGGGAAACCGGAGCUAAUACCGGAUGAUAUUUUGAACCGCAUGGUUCAAAAGUGAAAGACGGUCUUGCUGUCACUUAUAGAUGGAUCCGCGCUGCAUUAGCUAGUUGGUAAGGUAACGGCUUACCAAGGCAACGAUGCAUAGCCGACCUGAGAGGGGGAUCGGCCACACUGGAACUGAGACACGGUCCAGACUCCUACGGGAGGCAGCAGUAGGGAAUCUUCCGCAAUGGGCGAAAGCCUGACGGAGCAACGCCGCGUGAGUGAUGAAGGUCUUCGGAUCGUAAAACUCUGUUAUUAGGGAAGAACAUAUGUGUAAGUAACUGUGCACAUCUUGACGGUACCUAAUCAGAAAGCCACGGCUAACUACGUG
RNAcentral lists this ribosomal RNA (497 nucleotides) under uncultured bacterium. RNAcentral's name for it is "partial 16S ribosomal RNA". It matches the Rfam family "Bacterial small subunit ribosomal RNA", at positions 28 to 507 of the family's 1533-position model. The record is from RNAcentral.